RNAcentral lists this ribosomal RNA (230 nucleotides) under uncultured bacterium. RNAcentral's name for it is "partial 16S ribosomal RNA". It matches the Rfam family "Bacterial small subunit ribosomal RNA", at positions 568 to 793 of the family's 1533-position model. The record is from RNAcentral.
CAUGCAGGUGGUUUGUUAAGUCAGAUGUGAAAGCCCGGGGCUCAACCUCGGAAAUUGCAUUUGAAAACUGGCAAACUAGAGUACUGUAGAGGGGGGUAGAAGUUUCAGGUGUAGCGGUGAAAAUGCGUAGAGAUCUGAAGGAAUACCGGUGGCGAAGGCGGCCCCCUGGACAGAUACUGACACUCAGAUGCGAAAGCGUGGGGAGCAAACAGGAUUAGAUACCCUGGUAG